GACGAACGCUGGCGGCGUGCCUAAUACAUGCAAGUUGAGCGCUGAAGGUUGGUACUUGUACCAACUGGAUGAGCAGCGAACGGGUGAGUAACGCGUGGGGAAUCUGCCUUUGAGCGGGGGACAACAUUUGGAAACGAAUGCUAAUACCGCAUAAAAACUUUAAACACAAGUUUUAAGUUUGAAAGAUGCAAUUGCAUCACUCAAAGAUGAUCCCGCGUUGUAUUAGCUAGUUGGUGAGGUAAAGGCUCACCAAGGCGAUGAUACAUAGCCGACCUGAGAGGGUGAUCGGCCACACUGGGACGGAGACACGGCCCAAUCGCCGACGGGAGGCAGCCGUAGGGAAUCUUCGGCAAUGGACGAAAGUCUGACCGAGCAACGCCGCGUGAGGGAAGAAGGUUUUCGGAUCGUAAAACUCUGUUGGUAGGGAAGAACGUGGGUGAGAGUGGAAAGCUCAUCAAGUGACGGUAACUACCCAGAAAGGGACGGCUAACUACGUG
RNAcentral lists this ribosomal RNA (497 nucleotides) under uncultured bacterium. RNAcentral's name for it is "partial 16S ribosomal RNA". It matches the Rfam family "Bacterial small subunit ribosomal RNA", at positions 28 to 507 of the family's 1533-position model. The record is from RNAcentral.